This 89-nucleotide microRNA precursor is filed under the name Oryza brachyantha (malo sina). RNAcentral describes it as "MIR2275 microRNA precursor family". It matches the Rfam family "MIR2275 microRNA precursor family". The record is from Rfam by way of RNAcentral. Lineage: Eukaryota; Viridiplantae; Streptophyta; Magnoliopsida; Poales; Poaceae.
CAGUUGAAUUUGAGGUCUGGAUGGGACCAAAUCUCGUUGCAGGCCGGUGAGACGAGAUUUGGUUCUCUCCAGUAUCUCAUGUUCAACUU